CAGGUAUUUCAUGCUGGCUCUACGCUUAACAACAAGCUGUGUGCGUACAGGUCCAGAAGAAGUACAGUAUGAGAGAUAGCUAGCCUAUCAUGGCUGAAGAGGACCACUAAGGUGGUACCCAGCAGUUACUGUGUUGUCUAAAGCCCAAGCUGAUCGAUGCUCUGAGUGCAGACCCUAACUUUGUGCAGCAGCAUUCAGACUCUCUCAGACUAAUGUCCCGGCGUGAGUACCAGCAGGUCAAAGCCCUCACUGAGGCAUUAGAAAAGGCCCGGGACCUUCUGAACCAUGUGAUCCACAAAGGAGUCGCUGCUGCAGAGGAGUUACUGCAGUUCCUGAUAGUCAAUGAACUGCAAGAGACGUUUCCAAAACUUCCAUUCCUCAAGAAACUGUCAAUGAAUCAUCAAAGAGCUGCAGGGGGAAAUUAAUUUACCAGAAAGAGAAGAAGAGAAGACAAACCAUUGAGUCAGAAGAAACCCUUCCUGCUAAACAGACAAGCAAGAAUAGUUAGUUUUCCUGCCGGAACAGGAUCUGGCACCUCAGAUUUGACUUUGUUUGUUUCGGCACCUAUUUACCCGGAUCCAGUACCUCUCAUGAUUUAUUCCAUUUUUCACUGGUCGUACUGUAAACAUUUUAAUAAAAGCGA
Long non-coding RNA from Oncorhynchus tshawytscha (Chinook salmon), 643 nucleotides. Lineage: Eukaryota; Metazoa; Chordata; Actinopteri; Salmoniformes; Salmonidae. The record is from Ensembl.